GUAGCCUUGCGCACUUGAGGUUCUCGACCUUGUGCAAAAGGUCGGGCUAAGACGGGAAUGCGGUUCAAGCCGCAGCUGCCCCCGCAACUGUAAACGGUGAUUUCAUUGCAUGGCCACUGCGCGAGCGGGAAGGCGCGAUGAAUGCCUGUCCUGCCGACACGCCGCCGUAAGCCAGGAGACCUGCCUCGAACCGGGCCACAGG
RNAcentral lists this non-coding RNA (202 nucleotides) under Pseudomonas cichorii. The record is from RNAcentral. Lineage: Bacteria; Pseudomonadati; Pseudomonadota; Gammaproteobacteria; Pseudomonadales; Pseudomonadaceae.